Molecule: unclassified non-coding RNA, 254 nt
Filed under: plant metagenome
Description: partial contains small subunit ribosomal RNA, internal transcribed spacer 1, and 5.8S ribosomal RNA
Rfam family: Eukaryotic small subunit ribosomal RNA (bases 1-54)
Source: RNAcentral
GGAAGUAAAAGUCGCAACAAGGUUUCCGUAGGUGAACCUGCGGAAGGAUCAUUAUAGAGAUCCUGCCCUAACGGGUAGACCUCCAACCCUGUGUAUUUAUACCUUGUUGCUUCGGCAGGCCGUCUAGGCUUCGGCUUAGCCAUGGGCUUCGGCUUGUGAGUGCCUGUCAGAAGACACUAAAACUCUUGAUAUAAUUGUCGUCUGAGUAAAAACUUAAUAAGUUAAAACUUUCAACAACGGAUCUCUUGGUUCUG